RNAcentral lists this ribosomal RNA (547 nucleotides) under uncultured Neisseria sp. Its description in RNAcentral is "bacterial SSU rRNA". It matches the Rfam family "Bacterial small subunit ribosomal RNA", at positions 340 to 878 of the family's 1533-position model. Lineage: Bacteria; Pseudomonadati; Pseudomonadota; Betaproteobacteria; Neisseriales; Neisseriaceae. The record is from RNAcentral.
UACGGGAGGCAGCAGUGGGGAAUUUUGGACAAUGGGCGCAAGCCUGAUCCAGCCAUGCCGCGUGUCUGAAGAAGGCCUUCGGGUUGUAAAGGACUUUUGUCAGGGAAGAAAAGGCUGUUGCUAAUACCGACAGCUGAUGACGGUACCUGAAGAAUAAGCACCGGCUAACUACGUGCCAGCAGCCGCGGUAAUACGUAGGGUGCGAGCGUUAAUCGGAAUUACUGGGCGUAAAGCGAGCGCAGACGGUUACUUAAGCAGGAUGUGAAAUCCCCGGGCUCAACCUGGGAACUGCGUUCUGAACUGGGUGACUAGAGUGUGUCAGAGGGAGGUAGAAUUCCACGUGUAGCAGUGAAAUGCGUAGAGAUGUGGAGGAAUACCGAUGGCGAAGGCAGCCUCCUGGGAUAACACUGACGUUCAUGCUCGAAAGCGUGGGUAGCAAACAGGACUAGAUACCCUGGUAGUCCACGCCCUAAACGAUGUCGAAUUAGCUGUUGGGCAACUUGAUUGCUUAGUAGCGUAGCUAACGCGUGAAAUUGACCGCCUGGGG